Coccinella septempunctata (seven-spotted ladybird) is the source of this 267-nucleotide long non-coding RNA. RefSeq lists it as uncharacterized. The record is from RefSeq and is a predicted model, not a curated record. NCBI's taxonomy places the organism in Eukaryota, Metazoa, Arthropoda, Insecta, Coleoptera, Coccinellidae. The transcript is spliced from 2 exons.
GACAUUUGUCUUCUGUCGUUCACUUUUAGACAUGAUUUUCCGUUUUCCCAAAGAAUGUUGAGUGUGUACUUUAAGUUUAAAUUUGUAUAUUGUUUAAUGAUUGCUUUCAAACAAAUUGUACUUAGUAGAGAAAAGAGAACAUACAAACAGGAUUUUACAAUACAUGAAUGAACUUUCUCAAAAUUCAGAACCCUGAGGAAGGUGCAAAUUAGAUACCGAAAGCUUGGCGAAUGAAUAAAGAGAAUUAAAUAAACAACUUUCAUAUUG